This 2555-nucleotide unclassified non-coding RNA is filed under the name Hevea brasiliensis (rubber tree). The record is from RNAcentral. Lineage: Eukaryota; Viridiplantae; Streptophyta; Magnoliopsida; Malpighiales; Euphorbiaceae.
CCAAAGUCAAAAACCCUUGAUUUCAAGCACUCAGCCUCCGACACCACCAUGAGUUUAAUUGCAGGCUCCUACGAGAAAUUCAUCUGGGGUUUCAAGCUCAAGCCCUUAAAACACAACGAUUCACAGGAAACCUUAACUCUAAUCCCUCUCUUCUCCUACCCUGCCCACCUCGCCCCCAUCACCACAGCCGCUGCCGCUGGCCCAGCCGCCGCAUCCGGUUCUUCCGACGAUACCAUUCACAUAUACGACAUUCCUUCCGCCUCCUCCCUUGGCUCCCUCCACCACCACACCUCCUCUGUCACCUCUCUCUCCUUCUUCACCCCUCCCUCCCUCUCCUUUCCCCGCAACCUCCUCUCUGCCGCUGCCGACGGCUCCGUCUGCAUCUUCGAUGCCGACCCCUUUGUCCACUUAAAGACAGUAUGGGCUCACAAGAAGGGUGUGAAUGACUUGUCCAUACAUCCAUCUGGGAAAUUGGCGCUUACGGUGGGGAGGGAUGAAUGCUUGGCGAUGUUGAAUUUAGUGAGGGGAAGGAGGAGCUUUUAUUGUAGGCUGGGGAAGGAGGCGAGUUUGGUGAAGUUUGAUUUGGGUGGAGAGAGAUUUUUUAUGGUGACAGAAGAGAAGGUUGGGAUUCAUCAGGCUGAAGAUGCCCGGCUGGUGACUGAGCUUGAGUGUAGGAAACGGGUUCUUUGUGCUGCUUCUGGAGAGAAUGAACUUCUGUUUACUGGUGGUGAGGACCGGAAUAUUACAGCAUGGGACACAAACAGUGGAAAACUUGCAUAUUGCAUUGAGGAUGCACAUUCUGCCCGUGUGAAAGGUAUUGUUGUGCUUACUAGGAAUGAUGAUGAUGUAAAUGAUCCAUAUCUAUUGGCAUCAGCAUCAUCAGAUGGAGUUAUACGUGUUUGGGAUGUUCGCAUGGCUGUGAAGGAGAAGCCAAAUCCAUUGGCUGAGGCCAACACAAAAUCAAGGCUGACUUGUCUUGCUGGAUCAUCUCUUAAAUGUGAGUGCUGUGCUUGUAUGAUUAAUGCUUUCCUUCCAGUUUAACACAUUCUACUAUUUUCUCUGUCAAUAUCUGCUUCAUUUUUUGCCUUCCACUAACCAAUUUGCUGUUAUAUUUCUUAUUAUUUGCUUAAUUUCUUCUUAUCUGGCUAUAAUUAUUUCCUCUCUUGUCCUUCUUCUCUCAUAGUAAAGAUGUUGUACACUUUUGCUGAAAUCAACUGCUUUCUUCAUCUUAUAUGUUCUUUUAUUUGUUUUAUCAAUUACUUCUAUGCUUGUAAAAUGUUAGCACAUUUUAGUUGGAAACGGAGUAAUUUUAUUAAGUAUGCAUUUCAAUCGUUUGGCUUAUACAUUUUGGGAUUCUUACAAAAAUUUUCUCUGAAUAUUCAACGGGUAGAUCAACCAUAAAAGUAAAAAAUAUAACUAUGACUGCAUUUUCUCUACGAAAGAGUGAAAUGUGUACAUUAACUCUAGUCCUGGUUUGUUCCUAUUGGGCUGUUGCUGUCUCUUAUUGGUAAUCAGAAGGCAAGGAACUCUCUGAUUAGGAGGGUAGAGAUACAGUAAUACUUAUGGACAGAAGGCCAGUUUGGUUUAUGGUGCUCAAGUUAAAAUGCUCAGGAUACUACUCAAAAGUAAUUACAUCUUGGGGUCUAGUGUUUUACCAUCAUGGAAGGAUUUGAUUGGGAUUGCUGUUCUAUGUAUUUGCUUUCAAGGGUUCCUAAUCCUAUGUUAGCACUUACAUUAUAAUAAUAACAAACAUGGGUCCACUGGAACCUGAGACAUCUUGUCCUCUUUUACAGGAUAAAUGUUGACAAUAAAUCUUGUUACAAGUGCCCUAUUCUGCAAACACCUGUAGAAAAAGAAAGAAGGCCUGUUGUUUCUAUAUUCCUGAAAAUCAGUACUGGUUCUUAUCAAUUCUUUCUUUUCUUGCAGCUCUUAAACGACCGCAGAUGGGAAACAAUGUUCCUAGAGAAAAGGCCGGUGCAGCUGGGGAAGGAUCACAGGAAUAAUGAAUGCAGAAUGGAUAUAGCCUUGGGAGGAUCACCAGAUUAAUGAAUGGAAAUGUGGAACUUAUCCCAAGAUGUUUAACAAAAUUUCUAAUGGAGCCGUGUUCUUUGAUGGGUCUAGUUACACAAAAAUUCAAUUUUGACGCAAGGAAAAGCCUGUUAAUGUUAAUUAUUUUUACUUGUUAGUGAUAUAGAAAACCAUCUGUUUACCUUUGAUUUUUGUUGAAAGUUCUGACAUAUAAAUGAAAAUCUUGUUUUCCCAACUCGUGACUGUAAGUUUACCGCUCUUACGGAAUCAUGGAUUUGAAUGACCUUUCACAUUUUGUUUGCAUAUCUAACCAUAAAGGAUUGAAGAAUAUGUUUUUGACUAAAAGAAUGUUAAAUGGAAUCCCUUAUCCAUGAAAAUGAGAGAUUCUGCAAAAAUCUAUUUAUCCAUUAAAAAUGUGGGAUUCUGCAGAAACACGUUCUAAAAUUCAAUACCAAAUUAGUCCUAAAAAAUGAGUUUUAAAGAGAAUUGAUGCAUCAAUGAAAAUGAGCUCUAGAACCAAUUAGAGU